GACGAACGCUGGCGGCGUGCUUAACACAUGCAAGUCGAACGGUGAAGCGCCUUCCUUUUUGGUGGGUGUGGAUGAGUGGUGAACGGGUGAGUAACACGUGAGUAACCUGCCCCCUUCUUCUGGAUAACCGCAUGAAAGUGUGGCUAAUACGGGAUAUUCUGGGUCUGUCGCAUGAUGGGUCUGGGAAAGAUAUUGUUUCGGUGGGGGAUGGGCUCGCGGCCUAUCAGCUUGUUGGUGGGGUGAUGGCCUACCAAGGCGGUGACGGGUAGCCGGCCUGAGAGGGUGGACGGUCACACUGGGACUGAGACACGGCCCAGACUCCUACGGGAGGCAGCAGUGGGGAAUAUUGCACAAUGGGCGCAAGCCUGAUGCAGCGACGCCGCGUGAGGGAUGGAGGCCUUCGGGUUGUGAACCUCUUUCGCCAGUGAAGCAGGCCUGCCUCGUUUGUGGGUGGGUUGACGGUAGCUGGAGAAGAAGCGCCGGCUAACUACGUG
RNAcentral lists this ribosomal RNA (494 nucleotides) under uncultured bacterium. RNAcentral's name for it is "partial 16S ribosomal RNA". It matches the Rfam family "Bacterial small subunit ribosomal RNA", at positions 28 to 507 of the family's 1533-position model. The record is from RNAcentral.